This 118-nucleotide small RNA is filed under the name Escherichia coli. RNAcentral describes it as "RtT sRNA". It matches the Rfam family "RtT RNA". Rfam says of the family: This family represents a bacterial cis-regulatory element known as RtT RNA. The exact function of RtT is unknown although it is thought that it may be involved in changing the cellular response in relation to amino acid starvation. Lineage: Bacteria; Pseudomonadati; Pseudomonadota; Gammaproteobacteria; Enterobacterales; Enterobacteriaceae. The record is from RNAcentral.
GUUUGCACUCAUCGGGGAAGGGUGAGAACCUUCGACUAAGGUUCGAUUCGAGCGAAAGCGAGAGAACGUUGCCACAGGCAACGGAGCGAAGCGACGAAUAAUCCUUCCCCCACCACCA